This 236-nucleotide unclassified non-coding RNA is filed under the name plant metagenome. Its description in RNAcentral is "partial contains small subunit ribosomal RNA, internal transcribed spacer 1, and 5.8S ribosomal RNA". The record is from RNAcentral.
UUUCCGUAGGUGAACCUGCGGAAGGAUCAUUACUGAGUGAGGGCCCCUCGGGGUCCAACCUCCCACCCGUGUUUAACGAACCUUGUUGCUUCGGCGGGCCCGCCUCACGGCCGCCGUGGGGCAUCUGCCCCCGGGCCCGCGCCCGCCGAAGCCACCUGUGAACGCUGUCUGAAGUAUGCAGUCUGAGACAAUUAUUAAAUUAAUUAAAACUUUCAACAACGGAUCUCUUGGUUCCG